Molecule: ribosomal RNA, 1380 nt
Filed under: uncultured bacterium
Lineage: Bacteria
Description: bacterial SSU rRNA
Rfam family: Bacterial small subunit ribosomal RNA
Source: RNAcentral
UUGAACGCUGGCGGUAUGCUUAACACAUGCAAGUCGAACGGAAACGAUACUAGCUUGCUAGUAGGCGUCGAGUGGCGGACGGGUGAGUAACGCGUAGGAAUCUGCCUGAUAGUGGGGGAUAGCCCGAAGAAAUUCGGAUUAAUACCGCAUAAUCUAUUCGUAGUAAAGUGGGGGACUUUCGAGCCUCACGCUAUCAGAUGAGCCUGCGUAAGAUUAACUUGUUGGUAGGGUAAAAGCCUACCAAGGCGACGAUCUUUAGCUGGUCUGAGAGGAUGAUCAGCCACAUCGGGACUGAGACACGGCCCGAACUCCUACGGGAGGCAGCAGUGGGGAAUAUUGGACAAUGGGGGCAACCCUGAUCCAGCAAUACCGCGUGUGUGAAGAAGGCCUGAGGGUUGUAAAGCACUUUCAAUUGUGAAGAAAAGUUAGCGGUUAAUAACCGUUAGCCUUGACGUUAACUUUAGAAGAAGCACCGGCUAACUCCGUGCCAGCAGCCGCGGUAAUACGGAGGGUGCAAGCGUUAAUCGGAAUUACUGGGCGUAAAGCGUGCGUACGCGGUUUAUUAAGUCAGAUGUGAAAGCCCCGGGCUUAACCUGGGAACUGCAUUUGAAACUGGUCAACUAGAGUAUGGUAGAGGAAAGUGGAAUUUCUGGUGUAGCGGUGAAAUGCGUAGAUAUCAGAAGGAACAUCAAUGGCGAAGGCAGCUUUCUGGACCAAUACUGACGCUGAGGUACGAAAGCGUGGGUAGCAAACAGGAUUAGAUACCCUGGUAGUCCACGCCGUAAACGAUGAUAACUAGCCGUUGGGGGGAUUUACCCUUUAGUGGCGAAGCUAACGCGUUAAGUUAUCCGCCUGGGGAGUACGGCCGCAAGGUUAAAACUCAAAGGAAUUGACGGGGACCCGCACAAGCGGUGGAGCAUGUGGUUUAAUUCGAUGCAACGCGAAGAACCUUACCUGGUCUUGACAUCUUGCGAACUUUCUAGAAAUAGAUUGGUGCCUUCGGGAACGCAGUGACAGGUGCUGCAUGGCUGUCGUCAGCUCGUGACGUGAGAUGUUGGGUUAAGUCCCGUAACGAGCGCAACCCCUAUCCUUAUUUGCCAGCACAUCAUGGUGGGAACUAUAAGGAGACUGCCGGUGAUAAACCGGAGGAAGGCGGGGACGACGUCAAGUCAUCAUGGCCCUUACGACCAGGGCUACACACGUGCUACAAUGGGAAGGACAAAGAGCCGCGAAGCCGCGAGGUGUAGCUAAUUUCAUAAACCUUUUCGUAGUCCGGAUUGGAGUCUGCAACUCGACUCCAUGAAGUCGGAAUCGCUAGUAAUCGUAGAUCAGAAUGCUACGGUGAAUACGUUCCCGGGUCUUGUACUCACCGCCCGUCAA